Molecule: non-coding RNA, 900 nt
Filed under: Catostomus occidentalis (Sacramento sucker)
Lineage: Eukaryota; Metazoa; Chordata; Actinopteri; Cypriniformes; Catostomidae
Description: partial small subunit ribosomal RNA
Rfam family: Bacterial small subunit ribosomal RNA
Source: RNAcentral
CAAAGGCUUGGUCCUGACUUUACUAUCAGCUUUAGCUCGAUUUACACAUGCAAGUCUCCGCAGCCCCGUGAGAAUGCCCUUAAUCCCCCGCCCGGGGACGAGGAGCAGGCAUCAGGCACAAAAUUUAGCCCAAGACGCCUUGCCAGGCCACACCCCCAAGGGAAUUCAGCAGUGAUAAAUAUUAAGCCAUAAGUGAAAACUUGACUUAGUUAAGGCUAAGAGGGCCGGUAAAACUCGUGCCAGCCACCGCGGUUAUACGAGAGGCCCUAGUUGAUAGGCACGGCGUAAAGGGUGGUUAAGGGAGUACACAAAUAAAGCCGAAGGACCCUCUGGCCGUUAUACGCUUCUGGACGCCCGAAGCCCAAAUACGAAAGUAGCUUUAAUUUAGCCCACCUGACCCCACGAAAACUGAGAAACAAACUGGGAUUAGAUACCCCACUAUGCUCAGUCAUAAACCCAGAUGUCAAAUUACAAUAGACAUUCGCCCGGGUACUACGAGCGUCAGCUUGAAACCCAAAGGACUUGGCGGUGCCUUAGACCCCCCUAGAGGAGCCUGUUCUAGAACCGAUAAUCCCCGUUAAACCUCACCACUUCUAGUCAUUCCCGCCUAUAUACCGCCGUCGUCAGCUUACCCUGUGAGGGACUAACAGUAAGCGAAAUGGGCACAACCCAAAACGUCAGGUCGAGGUGUAGCGAACGAAGUGGAAAGAAAUGGGCUACAUUUUCUAUCCCAGAAUAAUACGAACAGCACUAUGAAAAAAUGCUCGAAGGAGGAUUUAGUAGUAAAAAGGAAGCAGAGUGUCCUUUUGAACCCGGCUCUGAGGCGCGUACACACCGCCCGUCACUCUCCCCUGUUAAAUUGCGCCAACUGUAAUUAACCUGAAAGCACCAACGAGGGGA